Molecule: ribosomal RNA, 784 nt
Filed under: uncultured bacterium
Lineage: Bacteria
Description: bacterial SSU rRNA
Rfam family: Bacterial small subunit ribosomal RNA
Source: RNAcentral
AGAGUUUGAUCAUGGCUCAGAAUCAACGCUGGCGGCGUGCCUAACACAUGCAAGUCGAGCGAGAAAAGGGGGGCAACUCCCUGAGUACAGCGGCGCACGGGUGAGUAACACGUGGGUAAUCUGCCCUGGAGUGGGGAAUAACACCGGGAAACCGGUGCUAAUACCGCAUACGAUCACGAUGUCUGCGGAUGUUGUGAUGAAAGGAGCAAUUCGCUCCAGGAGGAGCCCGCGGCUGAUUAGCUAGUUGGUGAGGUAAUGGCUCACCAAGGCAACGAUCAGUAUCCGGUCUGAGAGGACGGUCGGACACACUGGAACUGAGACACGGUCCAGACUCCUACGGGAGGCAGCAGUGGGGAAUUUUUGGCAAUGGGGGCAACCCUGACCAAGCAACGCCGCGUGGGUGAUGAAGUCUCUUGGGACGUAAAACCCUUUCGACGGGGAAGAAAACCGCAAGGUUUGACGGUACCCGUAGAAGAAGCCCCGGCUAACUCCGUGCCAGCAGCCGCGGUAAUACGGGGGGGGCAAGCGUUGUUCGGAAUUACUGGGCGUAAAGGGUGCGUAGGCGGUGCUCUAAGUCGGAUGUGAAAACUCUGGGCUCAACCCAGAGCCUGCAUCCGAAACUGGAGUGCUAGAGUUCUGGAGGGGGUAGCGGAAUUCCUGGUGUAGCGGUGAAAUGCGUAGAUAUCAGGAGGAACACCGGUGGCGAAGGCGGCUACCUGGACAGAGUCUGACGCUGAGGCACGAAAGCUAGGGGAGCAAACAGGAUUAGAUACCCUAGUAGUCC